UCACAUUCUGGAUUUCUGGACUGUGGAAGCAAUGUGAGUUUCUUCUGCAGAGAUGGGAUGGCACAGAGGAAGGAGAGCUGCCAGUUACACAGGACUGCAUGGGAGGCAUUAUUUGGAAUGUGCUUAAUGGUGACACCUUUUAAUAACAAUUUUGGAACUCAGUUUAAAAGUGUUCCUUGUGAUCUGCAGCUCAUCCAAAGGCAAGAUGCUUGUCUGCCACCUCCUUCCAACCACCUAUGGUGUUUUUAACACCGCAAUAACACAAAACAGGAAAAACACAGAUCUUUGAGGGUGAGGAUGAUAUGCUCAGCUUUUAAUGUGAAACAAAAUGCAUAAUCAACAAAAGGAAAAAUGAUUGCCUCGCCAACUGAUCCCACCAUCGUCACUGUUCAACUCUCUGUUCAGGGUCCCCUCCGGCUGAUUUCUUCGGGCACAUACACUCUGAAAAUUGGUUCGCCCCCAUGUCUCCACAUAAGGAUUGAUCACCCAGGAGACAGAACUACAGACGCCCUCCCGACAGGGUGUCCUAGGACUGGAGACACCCUGUGGGCAUAUGGCCGUGGCCUAACGAACACGGAAGUCCCCCACAAAGCAUUCUCACCUGGUUCCAAAACACCGCUCUUUCCUCCCUGUCUCUUUUACUUUCACUUUCAGUUCGCUCGUCAAUCUGGUAAGGCAACCACCA
Nannospalax galili (Upper Galilee mountains blind mole rat) is the source of this 685-nucleotide long non-coding RNA. RefSeq lists it as uncharacterized. The transcript has 5 exons. NCBI's taxonomy places the organism in Eukaryota, Metazoa, Chordata, Mammalia, Rodentia, Spalacidae. The record is from RefSeq and is a predicted model, not a curated record.